GCUAGCAGCCAUACCACCCUGCAACUCACAACUGGUAACCUGCUGAAGAUAAGCAGGUGUGAGCCUGGUCAGUACCUGCAUGGUAGACCUCCUGGGAAAGCUAAGGUUGCUGCUGGAA
Molecule: ribosomal RNA, 118 nt
Filed under: Lepisosteus oculatus (spotted gar)
Lineage: Eukaryota; Metazoa; Chordata; Actinopteri; Semionotiformes; Lepisosteidae
Source: RNAcentral